Molecule: long non-coding RNA, 693 nt
Organism: Bos taurus (domestic cattle)
Lineage: Eukaryota; Metazoa; Chordata; Mammalia; Artiodactyla; Bovidae
Source: Ensembl
AGAAACUAUUUGGGGCUAAAAAUAACAACAUACAUGGGCAGUUAGGGCAAAUUCUGAACAAAAGAUACAAAAAGACCAAAAAGCCCAACUGCCAGUUCUGAAGAGCCUGGAGCAAAAGCAGGGUCAAGUGUCUGCCUUCUGCACACAAUCCCACCUGGAUUACCGAGGCUGUCCCUCAGGGACCCUCACCCCAGCCCCUAAGUCUUAAAUAGGACAGGCUUUGGUAUCAGAUGGGCUGGGACACCUACAUGAGAAUCCAUCUGUUGGAGAGUGGUGGGCAAAGCAUGCCAGUUUGUUGGGAGAGGAAUCUGCUUCACUGGAGUCUAGUGAUGGACCUUACUCAGAAGGUCAGCCUGCUGCUGCUGCUGCUGCUGCUGCUGCUCAGUCGCUUCAGUUGUGUCUGACUCUGUAUGACCCCAUAGAUGGCAGCCCACCAGGCUCCCCCGUCCCUGGGAUUCUCCAGGCAAGAACACUGGAGUGGGCUGCCAUUUCCUUCUCCAAUGCAUGAAAGUGAAAAGUGAAAGUGAAAGUGAAGUCGCUCAGUCGUGUCCGACUCUUUGCGACCCCAUGGACUGUCCUACCAGGCUCCUCCGUCCAUGGGAUUUUCCAGGCAAGAGUACUGGAGUGGGGUGCCAUCGCCUUCUCCGACAGCACAUUCCUCAACUCCCCAGCUUAUUUUGAAGCAAAUCCAAG